This 495-nucleotide ribosomal RNA is filed under the name uncultured bacterium. RNAcentral's name for it is "partial 16S ribosomal RNA". It matches the Rfam family "Bacterial small subunit ribosomal RNA", at positions 28 to 507 of the family's 1533-position model. The record is from RNAcentral.
GACGAACGCUGGCGGCGUGCCUAAUACAUGCAAGUCGAACGCUGAAGGAGGAGCUUGCUUCUCUGGAUGAGUUGCGAACGGGUGAGUAACGCGUAGGUAACCUGCCUGGUAGCGGGGGAUAACUAUUGGAAACGAUAGCUAAUACCGCAUAAUAGUAGAUGUUGCAUGACAUUUGCUUAAAAGAUGCAAUUGCAUCACUACCAGAUGGACCUGCGUUGUAAUAGCUAGUUGGUGGGGUAACGGCUCAACAAGGCCACGAUACAUAGCCGACCUGAGAGGGGGAUCGGCCACACUGGGACUGAGACACGGCCCAGACUCCUACGGGAGGCAGCAGUAGGGAAUCUUCGGCAAUGGACGGAAGUCUGACCGAGCAACGCCGCGUGAGUGAAGAAGGUUUUCGGAUCGUAAAGCUCUGUUGUAAGAGAAGAACGAGUGUGAGAGUGGAAAGUUCACACUGUGACGGUAUCUUACCAGAAAGGGACGGCUAACUACGUG